AUGAACGCUGGCGGCAUGCCUAAUACAUGCAAGUCGAACGAGAGACCUUCGGGUCUCUAGUGGCGAACGGGUGAGUAACACGUAGGGAACCUGCCCGCGCACCGGGAAUACGCUCUGGAAACGGAGAACAAAUCCCGAUGUACAGGAAGGAGGCAUCUUCUUUCUGUGAAACAUCCUCUAGGGGAUGGGGCGCGGAUGGACCUGCGGUGCAUUAGUUGGUUGGCGGGGUAAAGGCCCACCAAGACGAUGAUGCAUAGCCGGCCUGAGAGGGCGGACGGCCACAUUGGGACUGAGACACGGCCCAGACUCCUGCGGGAGGCAGCAGUAGGGAAUUUUCGUCAAUGGGCGCAAGCCUGAACGAGCGAUGCCGCGUGAGUGAAGAAGGCCUUCGGGUCGUAAAGCUCUGUUGCGGGGGAAAAAAGGCAGCAUCAGGAAAUGGGUGCUGACUGAUGGUGCCCCGCCAGAAAGUCACGGCUAACUACGUGCCAGCAGCCGCGGUAAUACGUAGGUGGCGAGCGUUAUCCGGAAUGAUUGGGCGUAAAGGGUGCGCAAGCGGUCCU
RNAcentral lists this ribosomal RNA (560 nucleotides) under uncultured bacterium. Its description in RNAcentral is "bacterial SSU rRNA". It matches the Rfam family "Bacterial small subunit ribosomal RNA", at positions 29 to 582 of the family's 1533-position model. The record is from RNAcentral.